Molecule: long non-coding RNA, 1298 nt
Organism: Bos taurus (domestic cattle)
Lineage: Eukaryota; Metazoa; Chordata; Mammalia; Artiodactyla; Bovidae
Source: Ensembl
CGUUAAGCCGGCCGUUUGCGGCGGAGACUCGGGCCGCACUUGCGCGAUGGCCCCUUGCAGGACUCCCCCCCGCCCUCGGCGAAGCCUGGUCAGGGAACGUCACGAAAUUCCUAAUUCCUGGAGAGCUGGCGGCUCCCGGGGUCACCCGAAUGGGUGAGGAGGCGCCGGGUCGGAUUUGGGAGAGGCAGGGAGACGUAGGGAACAGCCGGGAAGGUUGAGGAUCCCCUUAAGAGAGAUGCUGAGAACUGGCCGGAGUGGACCCCCGCGACCCGUUCCUGUAUCUCCCCUGGGCUGAGCACGCAGGACCCCAGGCUUCCCGGGGCCCUUAGAGUAGUGAGUUACCCCUCCCCGAAAAUAAAGGCCUAAAAACCAGUCCCUGCCCACGUGUUAUUAAGAGCUGGCUUUGCAACUUUCGGGACCUAGAUCCCAGUCCUGGCCUCUCCUUCGCAGCCUCGGUUUUCUCACCUGUAAAGUGGGGCGAUUAUAAUCCCUUUUAGGUCUGUUGUGGGGAUAAAAUGAUACGACGCUCAGCCCAGCGCCUGGCCGGGGCCAGAACUCAAGCUCGGGACCCUAUGAAUGUUAUCUGGAGUCAGAUUAUGGGAUGCUCCCUCUCUAAGGAGUAGAGACAACUGGUUUUCUCCUCCACCCAACAAGAGGUCGGAAGAGAUGAGGCCCCGCACAGUGCCUGACACAACUCCGACACGCAAAGAAAACUCGGUGGUCAGGAGCCAAGCUCGGAUGAGCCCCAUCACAGGCCAACCUUCCCGUUCCCCAGCCAGGUGGGCCAGGCACUUGCAAAGUCUCCCUGCCAGGCAGUGGGCAGAGAUAGUCUCCCAGAACCGACCUCGGGUGCUGAAAGUGGACCACGUGUUUACUGAGUGAGUGUCCAGUUUCCACCUCUGGCUGGGGAGUGGGAGGCAAGUCUGGGGCCCUUUCCCCCAGCAUUGCACGUUGUGGAGGAAGGGGGGCGGGUCUCAGGAAGACAGUGCAGAUUCCUGAUGGCCCCCAGGCACAGUUUUCAGGCCCGAGAUCGGUAACACAUGGCACUCUUGGGCCCCAUCGGGCCCAGACUAACCCGGCCCAACCCCGGCAGUCAGGGAUCAGUCGUGGAAUCGCUGGUGUCUCUGAGGUUAGAGGGUUCCAUUCAGGAAACGUCGGGUGUUGCUCUCAUCCUAUCUCCCAAACACCCGGAGAUGACUGCAGGACUUCUCCUUAAGGCCGGGAUCAGCCUCCCCGCAGCUGUGGGUCUGUUUGUGUCCAAGGCCCCCUGGUGCUCGCCGGCUGUCUGAGGACAACAG